UGGGGUAUCGCCAAGCGGUAAGGCACCNGGUUUUGAUCUCGGCAUCCCUAGGUUCGAAUCCUAGUACCCCAGCCA
Molecule: transfer RNA, 75 nt
Filed under: Caudoviricetes sp.
Lineage: Duplodnaviria; Heunggongvirae; Uroviricota; Caudoviricetes
Description: tRNA-Gln
Rfam family: tRNA
About the family: Transfer RNA (tRNA) molecules are approximately 80 nucleotides in length.
Source: RNAcentral